CUGGUAAAUAGAUGUAUUUACAUAUUACAGUUUCCAGAUAUAUCUGCGUAUGAUACAUAUUUAUAUAUUGCAUGGACUGCAUAUUGAAAAUGUGAAAGAAAUUGUCAUUUACAUACAGUUUCUAUAGUAUUCUUAUUUUAAACACUGUUCUCUGGUGAAGAACAAUUGCCAAUAUUGUACAGGUGCAUUCUGUAUUUACAUCUGACUCACUCUAUGAAACUGCGAUACAUCUCAACAAAUCUCCCAGUUACAGGUAAGACACCACUCAUAGAACGGAUUAGCAUCGAUAUGUAAUGUAGAAUUAUAGAUCUGACUCACUUACUAGCUGUUGGUAUUAUUCUGUCAUUGUUUCACCUUGGCAGAGGAAUACUAAUAGGAGAGCGGGAAUGGUCCGGCACAUAUGACACAGAGCACCCCGUGCCAGAGAAGGCUGUUGCCUACAAGGGAGUUUCUUUUGGGGAUGCUGUGUGAUAAGUGCACACUCUGUCACUGUGGCUACAAAUUUGGCACUAAGGGGUUGCAGGCAUCACUCUGUAUGGAUUUCACAGCUCCUCACGGGCCCUGUUCUGGUGUUGGAGCCAGGAUAUGACAUCACACCAGCCCCAACGUCACUACAGAGCAGAAGGAAGCAAGGAAAUCGGUACAGAGCCUGGACACCAGGGUUAAGAAUCUACUCCAGCUCUCCUGCCGAAUGUAAGAAGACAGAUUCUUGAUGGAAAGAGAUAAAAAAUAAAGUAUAUAAAUAACAAUAAUUUGUGUGUGUGUAUAUAUGUAUAUGUAAGUAUGUGUGUAAAAGUCAGUGUGUGUGCGUAGGAGUCUGUGUAUAAAUGCAUGUAGGUACCAGUCUGUGUAUAUGAAUGUGUGUAUGGGUAUGUUUCAUUCUGUGUGUUUAUGUGUCUGUGUAUAUGAAUGCAUGUGUGCACACAUGAAUGUAAGUACAAGUGAAUGUGAAAAUAAUGUUUUUACAAUUUUGGGGUUUGGUGCAAAAUACAUAUCCAUCUGGUUGCCAUGCAUCCUAGGUAUGCCUCUGCCAUUGUACUGCCAUAAGUUUACCACCACCUUGAAUGACAAUAUUUAACGACUACCACAGCUCAUUGUUUUAUGUGACUAUGCAUCAAUCACUGCUUAGGAUUUUAUUCCAAAACAAAAGUAAAAUAUAAAACUAAAAAAUACUAGAUUAUAUAUCUGUGAUAUGGACUAAUCACAGAAAAUAACUUUUGGGAAUCACCAGCGGUUUGUUCACUAGACUAAAAAAACGUGCAGAAUUGAUGAAGAUACAAAAUGGAAUAAAAAAAAAAAA
Pelobates cultripes (western spadefoot toad) is the source of this 1300-nucleotide non-coding RNA. The record is from the annotation of a GenBank genome assembly. Lineage: Eukaryota; Metazoa; Chordata; Amphibia; Anura; Pelobatidae.